UACGAAGGGUGCAAGCGUUGCUCGGAAUUAUUGGGCGUAAAGGGUAGGUAGGUGGUUACGUAUGUCUGGGGUGAAAUCCCUGAGCUUAACUCAGGAAGUGCCUUGGAAACGGCGUAACUAGAGUACUAGAGAGGUUCGUGGAAUUCCCGGUGUAGCGGUGAAAUGCGUAGAGAUCGGGAGGAACAUCAGAGGCGAAGGCGGCGAACUGGAUAGUAACUGACGCUGAGACGCGAAAGCGUGGGGAGCAAACAGG
This 253-nucleotide ribosomal RNA is filed under the name uncultured bacterium. RNAcentral's name for it is "partial 16S ribosomal RNA". It matches the Rfam family "Bacterial small subunit ribosomal RNA", at positions 524 to 776 of the family's 1533-position model. The record is from RNAcentral.